This is a regulatory RNA element of Eubacterium brachy ATCC 33089, 127 nucleotides long. It matches the Rfam family "FMN riboswitch aptamer (RFN element)". Rfam says of the family: The RFN element is a highly conserved domain that is found frequently in the 5'-untranslated regions of prokaryotic mRNAs that encode for flavin mononucleotide (FMN) biosynthesis and transport proteins. NCBI's taxonomy places the organism in Bacteria, Bacillati, Bacillota, Clostridia, Peptostreptococcales, Anaerovoracaceae. The record is from Rfam.
AAUCUGUUUCAGGGCGAGGUGCGAUUCCUCACCGGUGGUAAUUGUAAAGCAUAAGUCCACGAGCCAAGCGGCUGAACUGGUGUGAUUCCAGUACCGACGGUCACAGUCCGGAUGAGAGAAACCAGAU